GCUGGGCGUGGUGGCGCGCGCCUGUAGUCCCAGCUACUCGGCAGGCUGAAGCAGGAGAAUUGCUUGAACCCGGGAGGCGGAGGUUGCAGUGAGCCGAGAUCGCUCCACUGCACUCCAGCCUGGUGACAGAGUGAGACUCCGUCUCAAAAAAAAAAAAAAAAAAGUACAAAGGCCACCAGGGAAACAAAGCCAGUAGGGUGAGAUUUCAAAUUCCAAAUUCCCCAAUUUUUUUUUUUUUUUUUGAGAGGGACUCUCGCUCUGUCGCUCAGGCUGGAGUGCAGUGGCUCGAUCUCGGCUCACUGCAAGCUCCGCCUCCCAAGUUCAAACGAUUCUCCU
Molecule: non-coding RNA, 336 nt
Organism: Homo sapiens (human)
Lineage: Eukaryota; Metazoa; Chordata; Mammalia; Primates; Hominidae
Source: Rfam